UACGUAGGGUGCGAGCGUUAGUCGGAAUUACUGGGCGUAAAGUGUGCGCAGGCGGCCGCGCAAGUCGAGUGUGAAAUCCCCGAGCUUAACUUGGGAAUUGCGCUCGAAACUACGUGGCUGGAGUGUGGCAGAGGAAGGUGGAAUUCCACGUGUAGCGGUGAAAUGCGUAGAGAUGUGGAGGAACACCGAUGGCGAAGGCGGUUCUCUGGGCCUUACCUGACGCUGAGGAGCGAAAGCGUGGGGAGCGAACAGG
RNAcentral lists this ribosomal RNA (253 nucleotides) under uncultured bacterium. RNAcentral's name for it is "partial 16S ribosomal RNA". It matches the Rfam family "Bacterial small subunit ribosomal RNA", at positions 524 to 776 of the family's 1533-position model. The record is from RNAcentral.